GCGAAUGGCUCAUUAAAUCAGUUAUCGUUUAUUUGAUAGUACCUUACUACUUGGAUAACCGUGGUAAUUCUAGAGCUAAUACAUGCUGAAAACCCCAACUUCGGGAGGGGUGUAUAUAUUAGAUAAAAAACCAACGCCCUUCGGGGCUUCUUGGUGAUUCAUGAUAUCUUUACGGAUCGCAUGGCCUUGCGCCGGCGACGGUUCAUUCAAAUUUCUGCCCUAUCAACUUUCGAUGGUAAGGUAUUGGCUUACCAUGGUUUCAACGGGUAACGGGGAAUUAGGGUUCGAUUCCGGAGAGGGAGCCUGAGAAACGGCUACCACAUCCAAGGAAGGCAGCAGGCGCGCAAAUUACCCAAUCCCGACACGGGGAGGUAGUGACAAUAAAUACUGAUACAGGGCUCUUUUGGGUCUUGUAAUUGGAAUGAGUACAAUUUAAACCUCUUAACGAGGAACAAUUGGAGGGCAAGUCUGGUGCCAGCAGCCGCGGUAAUUCCAGCUCCAAUAGCGUAUAUUAAAGUUGUUGCAGUUAAAAAGCUCGUAGUUGAACCUUGGGUCUGGCUGGCAGGUCCGCCUCACCGCGUGUACUUGUCCGGCCGGGCCUUCCUUCUGGAGAACCUCAUGCCCUUCACUGGGCGUGUUGGGGACCAGGACUUUUACUUUGAAAAAAUUAGAGUGUUCAAAGCAGGCCUUUGCUCGAAUACGUUAGCAUGGAAUAAUAGAAUAGGACGUGCGGUCCUAUUUUGUUGGUUUCUAGGACCGCCGUAAUGAUUAAUAGGGACAGUCGGGGGCAUCAGUAUUCAAUUGUCAGAGGUGAAAUUCUUGGAUUUAUUGAAGACUAACUACUGCGAAAGCAUUUGCCAAGGAUGUUUCAUUAAUCAGUGAACGAAAGUUAGGGGAUCGAAGACGAUCAGAUACCGUCGUAGUCUUAACCGUAAACUAUGCCGACUAGGGAUCGGGCGAUGUUCUUUUUCUGACUCGCU
Molecule: ribosomal RNA, 980 nt
Filed under: Phaeosphaeria musae
Lineage: Eukaryota; Fungi; Ascomycota; Dothideomycetes; Pleosporales; Phaeosphaeriaceae
Description: SSU rRNA
Rfam family: Eukaryotic small subunit ribosomal RNA
Source: RNAcentral